This 891-nucleotide ribosomal RNA is filed under the name uncultured bacterium. RNAcentral's name for it is "bacterial SSU rRNA". It matches the Rfam family "Bacterial small subunit ribosomal RNA", at positions 28 to 896 of the family's 1533-position model. The record is from RNAcentral.
AACGAACGCUGGCGGCGUGCCUAACACAUGCAAGUCGAGCGAGAAAGCCCGCAAGGGUGAGUAAAGCGGCGCACGGGUGCGUAACACGUGGGUAAUCUGCCCUAGAGUCCGGAAUAACUCGCCGAAAGGCGUGCUAAUGCCGGAUGAGACCACGGGAGCUUCGGCUCCUGGGGGAAAAGGUGGCCUCUGUACACAAGCUAUCGCUCUAGGAUGAGCCCGCGGCCCAUCAGCUCGUUGGCGGGGUAAUGGCCCACCAAGGCUACGACGGGUAGCUGGUCUGAGAGGACGAUCAGCCACACUGGAACUGAGACACGGUCCAGACUCCUACGGGAGGCAGCAGUGGGGAAUCUUGCGCAAUGGGCGAAAGCCUGACGCAGCAACGCCGCGUGUGUGAUGAAGGUCUUCGGAUCGUAAAGCACUGUCGCGAGGGACGAAUAAGGGCCGGGCUAACAUCCCGGUCCGAUGACGGUACCUCGAGAGGAAGCACCGGCUAACUCUGUGCCAGCAGCCGCGGUAAUACAGAGGGUGCAAGCGUUGUUCGGAAUUAUUGGGCGUAAAGCGCGUGUAGGCGGCUUAGUAAGUUGGGUGUGAAAGCCCUCGGCUUAACCGAGGAAGUGCGCCCAAAACUGCUUGGCUUGAGUGCCGGAGAGGGUGGCGGAAUUCCCGGUGUAGAGGUGAAAUUCGUAGAUAUCGGGAGGAACACCAGCGGCGAAGGCGGCCACCUGGACGGUAACUGACGCUGAGACGCGAAAGCGUGGGGAGCAAACAGGAUUAGAUACCCUGGUAGUCCACGCUGUAAACGAUGAGCGCUAGGUGUUGUGGGUGUUGACCCCCGCAGUGCCGCAGCUAACGCAUUAAGCGCUCCGCCUGGGAAGUACGGCCGCAAGGCUA